CCUACGGGAGGCAGCAGUGAGGAAUAUUGGACAAUGGGCGCAAGCCUGAUCCAGCCAUGCCGCGUGCAGGAAGAAGCAUCUAUGGUGUGUAAACUGCUUUUGUACGGGAAGAAACACUCCUACGUGUAGGAGCUUGACGGUACCGUAAGAAUAAGGAUCGGCUAACUCCGUGCCAGCAGCCGCGGUAAUACGGAGGAUCCAAGCGUUAUCCGGAAUCAUUGGGUUUAAAGGGUCCGUAGGCGGUUUAAUAAGUCAGUGGUGAAAUCUGGUCGCUUAACGAUCAAACGGCCAUUGAUACUGUUAGACUUGAAUUAUUGUGAAGUAACUAGAAUAUGUAGUGUAGCGGUGAAAUGCUUAGAUAUUACAUGGAAUACCAAUUGCGAAGGCAGGUUACUAACAAUAUAUUGACGCUGAUGGACGAAAGCGUGGGGAGCGAACAGGAUUAGAUACCCUGGUAGUCCACGCCGUAAACGAUGGAUACUAGCUGUUGGGCGCAAGUUCAGUGGCUAAGCGAAGUGAUAAGUAUCCACCUGGGGAGACGUUCGCAAGAUUGAAACUUNAAAGGAUUGNGNGNGAGAGNGCGAGNGACGACGAGGAGAG
RNAcentral lists this ribosomal RNA (600 nucleotides) under uncultured bacterium. RNAcentral describes it as "bacterial SSU rRNA". It matches the Rfam family "Bacterial small subunit ribosomal RNA", at positions 338 to 944 of the family's 1533-position model. The record is from RNAcentral.